Molecule: ribosomal RNA, 462 nt
Filed under: uncultured bacterium
Lineage: Bacteria
Description: partial 16S ribosomal RNA
Rfam family: Bacterial small subunit ribosomal RNA
Source: RNAcentral
GAUGAACGCUGACAGAAUGCUUAACACAUGCAAGUCUUUGGCGAAGCUGUGCUUGCACAGCCUAGCCAAGGCGGACGGGUGAGUAACGCGUAAGGAACUUGCCCUGCAGUCAGGGAUAACAGACGGAAACGACUGAUAAGACCUGGUAAAGUCAGGCGGACUCAUGUCCAGCCUGAUGAAAAGAGAUGCUGCAGGAGAGCCUUGCGUCCUAUUAGCUUGUUGGUGGGGUAACGGCCCACCAAGGCGAUGAUAGGUAGCCGGCCUGAGAGGGUGGACGGCCAAAGGGGGAAUGGGACACGGCCCUUACCCCUACGGGGGGGAGCGGGGGGGAAGAUUGGACAAGGGGGGCAACCCUGAACCAGAAAUUCUGUGUGCAAGAUGAAGGUUUUCGGAUUGAAAAGUGUUUUAAGCAGGGAAAAAAAAAAUGACGGUACCUGCAAAAGAAGCAGCGGCUAAAUACGU